RNAcentral lists this ribosomal RNA (3428 nucleotides) under Triticum aestivum (bread wheat). RNAcentral's name for it is "partial small subunit ribosomal RNA". Lineage: Eukaryota; Viridiplantae; Streptophyta; Magnoliopsida; Poales; Poaceae. The record is from RNAcentral.
GAGAAGGUGAGCGCGCAGGAGGAGAGGAGAAGGGAGGAGGAGCGGAGAGAGGGGGGUAGGUUUGGGAUCCGGCGGGGGUGGCCGACGGCGGCGACAGCGGCGAGCCGGUCCGGUAGGAGGGAUGUGAGCGGGGGCGGGCGCGCAGGAGCGUAGGGUCGGGGGAGGGGAUUGCAGCGGCGGGUGGAGGUGGGUUUGGGCUUACGGUGGCGGCAGAGGAAACGGGACGGGCGGCCUGGGGACGGCGGGUGAAGGGGCCACAGCAGCGGCAGCAGGUGGUGGUGGGGGUGGCGCGGGGGUGGAAGAGGGUUAGGGGAGCGGAAUAGAGGACACCGGCCACCUAACCGGGGAGCGCCCUAGCUAAGGAGGCUCCGCCGCCCCAGAAGUCCCGGCCUGGAGGAGGAAGGUGGAGGACCGGCCGUGGGGGAGGACCGGCCGCGGGUUGGAGAUGUCGGGAGGAAGGGAAGGACGCGGACUUUGGGAUCGAGAUGUCCUCCACGUCAUCUCUCCAGGGUCGCUGGUGCCACCGCGUAGGUGCCGUCCAGCUGGAGUGCAGUAGUUACCCUCCUCCGGUCUGCCUCGCUGCCCACCUCCAGUUCGCCUCACGCGGAAGUGGUGGCCGACCGUGUAGCUGUCCUCCUCCGGUCCGGACCCGCUGAGGCUGAGGCCAAGGAGAGGCGGCGAAGAGGUAGGUUACACACGAGGAGCAACCGAAGAGGUAGGUUGCGCACGAAGAAGUAGGUCCGGACCCGCCUGGUUCCAAAAGGAGACGAUCGUUAUAGGCUUCAUUCAAGAAAACAUGAACCGAACGCCAUUAAAGCAGGUCGGCAUCUAUUACUGAAGACUACACGUUAUUGACAUCCUCUUUAAUGUAAUAUCACAAUAUUCUUCUGGAGAGACGGUCCAGCAGGAGGUAGAGAUUCCAGUAUUGACUUACGAUAUCACGGGGUCCUCUUAUUGAACACCCGAACUGUGAAAUACAUUGAGGGACGUGUAAAAACGAUACUUAAUAUUUUAGUCGUAAAUGGAAGAACAUCUUUUAAUUACGAACUAUAGGAACUGUCUUCAAGCCAUCUAAGUGAAGAACUACGGAAGACGGUAACACGACUUGACUUGGGACUAGGAUGACGACCAUUAAUUAAACUCAACGUCAAUUAUGAACUUUUGACUACAAGUCUUCUUGUCAUGAUUUUACAGACAAGAAAGUUUGAGGUAUUCUUUUACUUCUAUCACUGAACAAGGUACCACUCCUAUACUGGUUACCACCAACCUAAGUACCAACUACCUUAGCUGGGACUCAAAAAAUAAGGGUUUGGCUAUCCAGUUUUACCACCUCUCCUGGAGUCAAGAAGUCAUGAACUCCUCUGCUUGUACAACACAACCCUACCUCCUCUUCCCGUGCCCCUACAAUCAGUGGUCACUGUUCGGACAGGUCUAGAUGAAGAGGUGUUUCCGAACUACAUUUAUAGGUACUGAUGAACGAGUUCACUUUAUAGUUUUAACGGUUGUACAAGGACCAUCUCCCCCUCUAGGAAGGACUUGGGAAGUUAAACUCGCUACCCUUUACUACUCGAGGACGAAGAAAAAUACGGCCAAGUCCUCACAUCCUUCGCCAAGGAGCAGCCAACCUGCAGCAAGUUGGUGUUGAGACCGUGGGUGACUCGUUACGGAGCCGAUGUUGGAGGGAGCAGGUGUGUCGAUCUAACUCCCCAAGUUCUACUUGAACUAGAUGAAGCUGGACAUGGUCAGGUGUGCCGAGCUCUUUAAGUAGUGUCAAGAACUUUCGGUUACCACUCGUCGGGAACUGUACCUUCUCCCGAAGGUCGUACCUCCUCCAGGAGUUCCUCCGACUACACUAUUCGGACGUGGGGCACGACCUGUUCUGCCGCAUGAUGGAUUAUUUGGGACUCGCCGAUCGCUACUACCUCCUCCAUCACAACCACUUACGCUCGGCACCGGGCCACUAGCUGCUCCAACGUAACCACCUCGUGGACUCCCGCUUAGUAUACAAGGUACAACCGGAACUACAAAAACUCCUACUCGGAAUGUACUUCGGUCCCGACCGACUCUACUUCUUACAGCAGCAGCACGGAGUGUAGCGUAGUUGUAGGUUCUGCGCACUUCCCUACCGCUGCGAGCGACGAGACUUGCACGAACAAACCAUACUAAAGGGACGUAAUACCUCGUGGUAGUAAUCAUGAACGUUGAGAUAUGGUCAUAAACUUCUUCAAAUUUCAAAGCUAGAUAGGCACCUAUAUAUAAGGUUACUACACUACAAUCGAGGUAAGAGUCAUCAGGAAAGUCGAAACCAAAACCUACACUACAGUAACGAACUGAGGAGGGGGGAUAACCUUUUACCACGAGAAGUAUAGAGUGAGAAGACAGAAUUCUUUCAAGUCAAUAGAAUAAAGAUACAAAGAAACCAAUAUGGUACGAAUCUAUGCAUGUGAUCGUACGGUUAUCGAACCGUAAAUGGAGGAUCAAUAUGGUUUUGAAAGAAGCGAACUUCUAUUCUUACGAAACUACUGUAGGCUUAAAAUCAAACAAGCAAUCAUACCGUUUCCCACGGUAACACCAGGCCUCGGAGUACAAUCGAGCAGGGGAUAAAAUCAAACGAAAAGAAAUUUCAAGUAAAAACAAUCAGAAAGAAUACCUAUAAGUAAAAAAGCAAGAGAGAGAGAGAUACAAGUUUCACAUUCCCUUUAUUUUACCUACACAGAAGACGCAAUAGAAGUUUGUAGUUAAAACAAAACAUCGUUACGGAUACACCUUCAAAACUAAGUAAAAGGAGAACAAGAUGAUGAUUUCGAUUUAGUUUAUACUAUACAAUUUUCUUCAAACUGCGUAGUAUUAUAAGUUCUAGUGUGAAUAAACUCAUAGUACCAAAGGGGGUCUAAAUCCUUGCAUCACGAAGAGAGAAGGAUAACCACACUCCACCUGUAUUAAAAAAGAAUACAUAACUACGGCAAUACCAAAGGAAAUGCUCUAUCAAAAUACAUGACCGGUAAGAGAAUCCUCUCAAAAACAAGGUAAUACAACCGUCUGGUAAGAGAAUCUAGUUAAAAAAACCACUAGUAAGAAAAAUUAUUGGUGACUACAUUGAAACACCAUGAGAGAGAAAGAGUAGGAGAACCUAAGGUCCAGUUGUGGUAGUGCCCCGCCCUACUCCAGAGAUAUCAUCAAACCUACCCUAGAGGUGAUUAAAUAGAGGAAACGAUAACAUUUGCCUCCGAGAAGAUAGACUGUAUAAUUAGAGUACGUAAUCAAAACGAAAACGAGAGAAUACAAGGACGAUUCACAACAUGGAUUACAGUAGAUUAAUCGAAAACAUUAGAUUACUGGUAUGGCUUGAACUACAACGGAAAGGAAUACCCUGUCAGAUUUACGUUAAUCGAUAACAUUAGAACACUGUGAAAACUUGAGCUAAUACG